UGAACUUCGGGUGUAUAAAGCUAUGUUGUU
Molecule: non-coding RNA, 30 nt
Filed under: Rattus norvegicus (Norway rat)
Lineage: Eukaryota; Metazoa; Chordata; Mammalia; Rodentia; Muridae
Source: RNAcentral